Long non-coding RNA from Homo sapiens (human), 485 nucleotides. RefSeq lists it as uncharacterized. The transcript is spliced from 4 exons. Lineage: Eukaryota; Metazoa; Chordata; Mammalia; Primates; Hominidae. The record is from RefSeq and is a predicted model, not a curated record.
AUUUAAUUCCUAAAAAACCACUAAAGUUAUAGAGGCAAAAUGAGAAAGCAUAGCUCACAAAUACCUUGUGACCAAUGACUUGCCUAUUCAACGUGAAAAAGAUGAGGAUGAAGACCUUUAUUAUGAUCCACUUCCAAGUAAUGAACACACUGGAGAAAGUCAGACAGUCAAAACAAUGUCCCAGACUCCGUGAAGUUCCUGGGUAGAGAAGGAGACAGACAUAUACCAUACCUAAUAAUUGGAUGUCCGAGAGAAUGAGAGAAUGGCAGAAAGAACUUUAGAGCAUGGGUAUGAUGGCUAGAGCUUGAGCAGCCAUUGUGGACAUCAGAUGAACUUGAAAGUGAAAACUAUGAGCUGAAUACGACAAAGCAAACAGAUAGAAAACUGGAUUCAUUAUGACAUUGCAAAGCUGCCAGACCAGCUCUAGUCUGCUUCCCCCUAAUCUUCCUUACUAAGAGAGAGAAAUAAACUUCCAUCUUCUUCAA